RNAcentral lists this ribosomal RNA (217 nucleotides) under uncultured bacterium. RNAcentral's name for it is "partial 16S ribosomal RNA". It matches the Rfam family "Bacterial small subunit ribosomal RNA", at positions 71 to 305 of the family's 1533-position model. The record is from RNAcentral.
AACGGUACUUCGGUACUUAUUAAAGUGGCGCACGGGUGAGUAACGCGUGGGAACAUACCUAGUAGUAUGGAAAAACAGUUGGAAACGACUGCUAAUACCAUAUACGCCCUCCGGGGGAAAGAUUUAUCGCUAUUAGAUUGGCCCGCGUGGCAUUAGCUUGUUGGUGAGGUAACGGCUCACCAAGGCUACGAUGCCUAGCUGGUUUGAGAGGAUGAUC